AUUAAACGCUGGCGGCAUGCCUUACACAUGCAAGUCGAACGGCAGCACGGGGGCAACCCUGGUGGCGAGUGGCGGACGGGUGAGUAAAGCAUCGGAACGUAUCCUGGAGUGGGGGAUAACGUAGCGAAAGUUACGCUAAUACCGCAUAUUCUGUGAGCAGGAAAGCAGGGGAUCGCAAGACCUUGCGCUCUGGGAGCGGCCGAUGUCGGAUUAGCUAGUUGUGGGGUAAAGGCCUACCAAGGCGACGAUCCGUAGCGGGUCUGAGAGGAUGAUCCGCCACACUGGGACUGAGACACGGCCCAGACUCCUACGGGAGGCAGCAGUGGGGAAUUUUGGACAAUGGGGGCAACCCUGAUCCAGCCAUGCCGCGUGAGUGAAGAAGGCCU
RNAcentral lists this ribosomal RNA (386 nucleotides) under uncultured bacterium. RNAcentral's name for it is "bacterial SSU rRNA". It matches the Rfam family "Bacterial small subunit ribosomal RNA", at positions 29 to 417 of the family's 1533-position model. The record is from RNAcentral.